This 1431-nucleotide long non-coding RNA is filed under the name Zostera marina. RNAcentral describes it as "long non-coding RNA (ZMAR_LNC000867)". Lineage: Eukaryota; Viridiplantae; Streptophyta; Magnoliopsida; Alismatales; Zosteraceae. The record is from RNAcentral.
GAUGAAGAUAGAACAGACGAGGAAGGGCUUAUAACAGAAUUGAAGGCGAACCUGUUGCAGAGCGCGGAGGACGACGAGGCUGGAGAAGAAACCGGCGCAAGAUCGACUGAAGCAGAACCGGCCGGCCAUCGUCGAUCUGCUCGGAAUCGGAUUCCGCCUGCCCGAUUCCAAGACUACACCCGACCCUAAUAAAUCAUUUAAAGGAGGGUUAGUUUAGAGUAAAGUGUGAACCUGUCACAACUUAUCAAUAUUGUGUCUUAAGUAUAAAUUGGGAAUAUUGUGUAAUGGGAUUUUUAUCAAACCAUUCAAUUAAGAAUUGCUAACGCAACAAAACGGGUUGAAGCAACCUAGGGAUUCGAGCUUACUGUUCCAUUGCCUCCGCCUCCUUCCUUUUCAUACGUAUUAAUGGUGCUUUCAAUGAUCUCCUGCCGGCGUGCGUUGCUCUGAGUAAGGUCACCGGGAUCAGCAUCAAGGAUCUUCAAGGAUUUGUAUUCCUGCAAAAAAAAAAUACAAACUCUUAUCAAAGCAUGUUCUGUGCUUAACAGAUCCUUACCAGGGACGUAUCUAAUCUCAACUACAACUCAUUAUUCUGUUACUAAGUUGUUGUGUAUCGCAGAUCUAAAAAAAAAAGAGGAAAAUUUUUUUAGAGCCGGAUAUUGAAGAAGGACUGGUAUCCCUAUAAUAUACCAAACAACUAUCCAAGGCGUGUUCUGUGCUUGACAGAACCGUAUCAGGGACGUAUCUUACCCCUAAAUCUCAUCAAUUAUCCGUUCAUUAAAGCUUUUUAAUUUUUUUUCCAGUAAUUGAAAUCUAUAAGAAAAAAUGGGUGAAUCAAUGGAAACUCAACUAAAAAGAUUACAGAUUAAGCAAGAUGUGGAAAGUGAAAGAAUGAAAAAGAUGGAGCAGACCUUGGCUCAAAUGAGUGAGUCACUAUGUCUACUUAGCAAAACAGGAAGUCAAGUAACUGGACAGAGUUCAAACAACUCAGACUUCAAAUCCAAAUCUGUGAGAUCCGAAAUGCCUAAGUUUGAUGGAGACAAUGUGCAAGGUUGGGUCUACAAAGCCAACAAAUAUUUGAGAUACCACAAUGUGCCAGAUGAGGAGAGGAUCACAGUAGCGACCUUCAAUAUGGAAGGUGAGGCUUUAGAAUGGUUACUAUGGGCUGAUAGAAAUAAUCAAAUAAAGUCAUGGUAUGAUUUUGUGGAGGAUAUCACUAAAAGAUUUGGCACCUCUGCGUAUGAGAUUCCUGCUGGAAGACUUAGCAAAGUAAUGCAAAUCACUACUGUCAAGGAGUAUCAACACAGAUUCGAGAGCCUAGCAAAUAAAGUAACUGAUAUAAAUCCUAGAGUUCUUAAAGAAAUAUUUAUGGCAGGAUUAAAAAAUGAAGUACAAAAGGACGUGAUAAAAGCCAGACCUGAAACACUAGUUGAG